UUUAACCGGGGACCUUUAGGUUGGUGUGCCUAUUACAUGCAAGUCGAGCGGACAAAUGGGAGUUUGCUCCCUGAUGUUACCGGCGGACGGGUGAGUAACACGUGGGUAACCUGCCUGUAAGACUGGGAUAACUCCGGGAAACCGGGGCUAAUACCGGAUGGUUGUCUGAACCGCAUGGUUCAGACAUAAAAGGUGGCUUCGGCUACCACUUACAGAUGGACCCGCGGCGCAUUAGCUAGUUGGUGAGGUAACGGCUCACCAAGGCGACGAUGCGUAGCCGACCUGAGAGGGUGAUCGGCCACACUGGGACUGAGACACGGCCCAGACUCCUACGGGAGGCAGCAGUAGGGAAUCUUCCGCAAUGGACGAAAGUCUGACGGAGCAACGCCGCGUGAGUGAUGAAGGUUUUCGGAUCGUAAAGCUCUGUUGUUAGGGAAGAACAAGUGCCGUUCAAAUAGGGCGGCACCUUGACGGUACCUAACCAGAAAGCCACGGCUAACUACGUGCCAGCAGCCGCGGUAAUACGUAGGUGGCAAGCGUUGUCCGAAAUUAUUGGGCGUAAAGGGCUCGCAGGCGGUUUCUUAAGUCUGAUGUGAAAGCCCCCGGCUCAACCGGGGAGGGUCAUUGGAAACUGGGGAACUUGAGUGCAGAAAAGGAGAGUGGAAUUCCACGUGUAGCGGUGAAAUGCGUAAAGAUGUGGAAGGAACACCAGUGGCGAAAGGCGACUCUCUGGUUUGUAACUGACGCUGAGGAGCAAAAGCGUGGGGAGCAAACAGGAUUAAAAUACCCUGGUAGUCCAC
This 800-nucleotide ribosomal RNA is filed under the name Bacillus velezensis. RNAcentral's name for it is "bacterial SSU rRNA". It matches the Rfam family "Bacterial small subunit ribosomal RNA", at positions 18 to 798 of the family's 1533-position model. Lineage: Bacteria; Bacillati; Bacillota; Bacilli; Caryophanales; Bacillaceae. The record is from RNAcentral.